CCAGUUAGCGCUGCCUUCCCUUCAGGCACAGGGCGACGGGGACACUUCAUGAUCUCACAGGGUCGCUGGAUGAGAACAGUAAACGCAUUAGCCAUGCAGCUGCUCCCCCUGACUUCCCUACGAGGCACCUGCUGGUGCUUUUGCCUCCCUUGUUUGCCCUUUCCUUGUUAGCAUGGCUGGACUGCAGAGGCUACUGAAGCGAGGACUUGUGCUCCUGAUCACGCACACGCACUUGCACCUGCAGCCUAUGUGGGGAAAACUCUUGAGGUUGUGGGCACCAGCGCCCCCUGCUGGACCUGGGGGCUCUGUGGCCGGGCCUGGAAAUCAACCAUAGGAGACUGACACCGUCCUGCUCCUAGGGCAGUUAAGAAGGAGCUGGGAUCCAGUUGCAGGAAGAAGGGGCAGGGCCUGUCUCCAGCCCAACUCCAGGAUCUCCGGCUCCUGUGUGGGAGCCCCCGUUCCUCACCAGCCAGCCAAGGCUGAAUCCUACCUUUCCACAAGCAGUUUCUACGAUGAGCAGAUGGGACCUGAUUGGCUAUUGCGUUUCACAGCUUUGUAAAGACUUGUGGGAACUCAGUCUUGAGAGGGACUUGUAGCCAGUAGAGGUCAUUUUUCUGCUCUUCUGGCAGUUGUCCAGGCGGGAGCCUCCGUGUUGCUCUGAAGCUAUUUUCCUAUAUGUGCUUAGCUUCUGCAGUCAGUUCGCUGUAAGCAGAAGCAAUUAUUUUUUGAAAUCUGGAUGGAUGGGCAGGCCUUGUCCAAUCAGGUGAAGGACAUCAGGAGCCAAACUGCAGAAGAAAAAAAAUGCUGCUUGUGGGCAACAGCAUCAGGUGUGGCCUGAGGGAGAUUGCAGUUAGGAUAUAGACCCAAGUUUGAGGUCCGUGAGGUCAAGUUUGAAGACUGGACUAGGGCUGGAAGAAUGGCUCACCCAGGACGGUUUUUUUUUUUUUCUGGGUUGAACAGGUGCAAAAUGGCUCUCGAUUUGGUUUGAAUUCACUGUCCUUAAUUAGCAGAAGCUCAAGCAUUCUUUGUGCCUUCAUUGUCCCUCAUGUUCUCACUCUGGAAAGGCAUGUUGUGUGUCUUUCCCAAGCCGCUGCAGGUGACUGGUGGCUGGACUUCCCUUCAGUCCCAGUAAUGAGGCGCGUCUGAAGUUUGUGAAGCCAUAACCUACCGAUACCAAGACCAGACCACUGCGGACACAUCCACAGCACAGAGGUCAGGCGAGUUCAGAUUACCGAGUGCAAAACAAGCCUGGCCCUGCUAUGAAACAGCCAGUUCAGCAGCUGAUUUAG
This is a long non-coding RNA of Fukomys damarensis (Damara mole-rat), 1289 nucleotides long. RefSeq lists it as uncharacterized. Lineage: Eukaryota; Metazoa; Chordata; Mammalia; Rodentia; Bathyergidae. The record is from RefSeq and is a predicted model, not a curated record. The transcript has 2 exons.